This 587-nucleotide ribosomal RNA is filed under the name uncultured bacterium. RNAcentral's name for it is "partial 16S ribosomal RNA". It matches the Rfam family "Bacterial small subunit ribosomal RNA", at positions 355 to 1375 of the family's 1533-position model. The record is from RNAcentral.
UGGGGAAUUUUGGACAAUGGGCGAAAGCCUGAUCCAGCAAUGCCGCGUGUGUGAAGAAGGCCUUCGGGUUGUAAAGCACUUUUGUCCGGAAAGAAAUCCUUGGCUCUAAUACAGUCGGGGGAUGACGGUACCGGAAGAAUAAGCACCGGCUAACUACGUGCCAGCAGCCGCGGUAAUACGUAGGGUGCAAGCGUUAAUCGGAAUUACUGGGCGUAAAGCGUGCGCAGGCGGUUUGCUAAGACCGAUGUGAAAUCCCCGGGCUCAACCUGGGAACUGCAUUGGUGACUGGCAGGCUAGANUAUGGCAGAGGGGGGUAGAAUUCCACGUGUAGCAGUGAAAUGCGUAGAGAUGUGGAGGAAUACGAUGGCGAAGGCAGCCCCCUGGGCCAAUACUGACGCUCAUGCACGAAAAGCGUGGGGAGCAAAACAGGAUUAGAUACCCUGGUAGUCCACGCCCUAAAACGAUGUCAACUAGUUGUUGGGGGAUUCAUUUCCUUAGUAACUAGCUAACGCGUGAAGUUGACCGCCUGGGGAGUACGGUCGCAAGAUUAAAACUUAAAUGAAUUGACGGGGUCAUAGCUGUUUCCU